Molecule: ribosomal RNA, 575 nt
Filed under: Glomeromycotina sp.
Lineage: Eukaryota; Fungi; Glomeromycota
Description: partial large subunit ribosomal RNA
Rfam family: Eukaryotic large subunit ribosomal RNA
Source: RNAcentral
GAGUUGUAAUUUGAAGAAGCGUUUUCUGCGAAUUUGGUUAGUCCAAAUCCCUUGGAAUAAGGUAUCAUGGAGGGUGAGAAUCCCGUUCGGUUAACCAAAGCGCUUUACGAUACGCUUUCAAAGAGUCAAGUUGUUUGGGAUUGCAGCUUAAAAUGGGAGGUAAAUUUCUCCUAAGGCUAAAUAUUGGCGAGAGACCGAUAGCGAACAAGUACCGUGAGGGAAAGAUGAAAAGAACUUUGAAAAGAGAGUUAAACAGUACGUGAAAUUGUUGAAAGGGAAACGAUUAAAGUCAGUCGUACCCACGAGUAAUCAACCUACUCGAGUGCGAUUUUGUGGGUAUGUUAGAGUUUAAACCUUCAUGCUUACAAAUUGGUGCUCUUUGGGCGUACUUUCUCGUAUGGUAGGUUAACAUCAAUUUCGGUCGUUAUAAAAUGACUGGAGGAAUGUAGCUUCGACCUCGGUUGAAGUGUUAUAGCCUUUGGUAGAUGUAAUGAUUGGGAUUGAGGAUUGCAACGGAUACCCUCUGGGCUAUUCGUCUGAUCUCUGGAAGUUACCUUGGUGUCGAAAGCGUGCUU